Mercenaria mercenaria is the source of this 2246-nucleotide long non-coding RNA. RefSeq lists it as uncharacterized. The transcript has 3 exons. The record is from RefSeq and is a predicted model, not a curated record. Lineage: Eukaryota; Metazoa; Mollusca; Bivalvia; Venerida; Veneridae.
GUAGGUAUAAAAACAGUUGGCUAUGUGACAGUCACAUACUAAGCUCAUUCUUCAUGAGCUACAUUACACUUACGUACAAUUUUAUAGAAAAUAUUCAAACUAUUUAAGAAGUUUUUAUGUUGACUAAUUUGUCAGAUAUAAAUUUUCACUAGCAAAACGUUUUUAUCCAGCUUCAUUUUUUUAAAAAUGGUUAAGAAGAACUCUGUCAUUUGUUCACAAUCAGGCGUACGAGUUCGCAUACUUUGGAUGGUGAUUCUAACUCUGUGUAUUCAGAUAAACCAAGUCCCAGCUUCAGAAUACUGCCACAAUGGCACUAGUAUGGUUCUGUUAGACCAGGAGAAACAUUUUUGUUGUGAGGUAGUAUACAACAGAAGGGAUCAGCAUGGUCUCCAGCAAGAAUGUUGCAGAAAAACAGAUGGUAAGAGCUUUUCCUUUUUAUUAGCUCACCUGGGCACUUUGUGCUCAUGAUGAGCUUUUGUGAUCAUGCUGUGUCCAUCAUACAUCGUGCGUCUGUCCGUCAUCCACAAUUUCUUUAAGUAACAUCUCCAAAACCACUGAAUGGAUUUUGAUGAAACUUGGCUUGGAUGUUCCAUGGAUGGUCCUCAACCAAUGUUGUUCAAACAGUUCCACGUGAUUGCACAUAGGGGCCCGCCAAAGUUAAAAAUAGAAAAAUCUUCAAACGACAUCUCCUCCUAAACAGUCGGUCAAAUAAUUUCACACAAAUGGUCCUUAUGGUCCUUUAAAAUGUAACCUUCUACCAAGAUUGUUCAAAUUAUUCCAAUUUGUCAAAAAACAUGCUCGAUUUUAAAAUAUUUUUAUAUAGCCCACCAUCAUCAGAUGGUGGGCUAUUCAAAUCACUCUGCAUCCAUGGUCCAUCGUCCUUCUGUCCGUCAGUUAACAAUUUCUCGUUAUCGCAUCUCCUCAGAAACUACUGGGGGAAUUUCGACCAAACUUUGUCAGAAUGAUGUAUUGGUCCCUAGUUGUGUCCCCCUGAAAAUCAGGUUCAACAAUUUUUGAGUGAGUUACGGCCCUUUGUUUAUUUUUAUAAUUUACAUAGAUUUAUAUAGGGAAAAAUUUUGAAAACUUCUUGUCCAAAACCACAGAGCCUAGGGCUUUGAUAUUUGGUAUGUAGCAUCAUCUAGUGGUCCUCUACCAAGAGUUUUCAAAGUAUCUCCAUAGGGUCAAAUAUGGCCCCGCCCCGGGUGUCACAUGGUUUAUACAGACUUAUAUAGGGAAAAACUUCGAAAAAUCUUUAUAUCCAAAACCACAGGGCCUAGGGCUUUUAUAAUGUGACAUCAUCUAGUGGUCCUCUACUAAGAUUGUUCAAAUUAUUCCCCUAGGGUCAAAUAUGGCCCCGCCCUGGGGGUCACAUAGCUUACAUAGACUUAUACAGGGAAAAACUUUGAAAAUCUUCAAAGCCUAGGGCUUUGAUAUUUGUAAUGUAGCAUCAUCUCUACCAAGUUUUUUCAAACUCUUCCCCUAGGGUCAAAUAUGGCCCCGCCCCGGGGGGUCACAUGAUUUAUAUAGACUUAUACAGGGAAAAACUUUAAAAAUGUUCUUGUCCAUAUCCUACAACAUUCAAAUUUGGACCACAUGACAGUGUAUAGUUUUGAGUGGCUAGAUGAACCUUGGCAUGAGUUGACCUUGAUCUUGACCUAGUGACCUACUUUCGCAUUUCUGUAGCUACUGCCUUCAAAUUUGAACCACAUGCAAAGGUUUGUGUACCGAAAUAAACUUUGACCUUGACAUUGACCUAGUGACCUACUUCCACAUUUUUGAAGGUACAGGUUUCAAAUUUGUACCACAUGCAUAGUUUUGUGUUCCGAAAUGAAAUUUGACCUAAAUUUUGACCUAGUGACCUACUUUCACAUUUCUCAAGCUAGAGCUUUCUAAUUUGGACCACAUGCAUAGGUUUGAGUACCGAAAUAAACUGACAUUGACCUAGUGACCUACUUUCACAUUUUUGAAGGUACAGGCUUCAAAUUUAGACCACAUGUAUAGUUUUGUGUUCUGAAAUGAAAUUUGACAUUGAUUUUGACCUAGUGACCUACUUUCACAUUUCUCAAGCUACAGCCUUCAAAUUUGGACCACAUGCAUAGUUUUGUGUACCAAAAUGAACUUUGACCUUGAUCUUGACCUAGUGACCUACUUUUACAUUUCUCAGGCUACAGUCUUCAAAUUUGGACCACAUGCAUAGUUUUGUGUUCUGAAUUGAAAUUUUACCUUGAUUUUUACCUAGUACCUAC